CCCCAGCCCCUCGGCGGGCUGCGGCCACCCCGGGGCGGCAGCGGGCCCCCACCCCCUCGGGCACAGGGCCCGGCCGGGAGGUGCUGUGCUGUGCCGGGCCGGGAGGUGCUGCGCCCGGCCGGCUGAGCGAGGUCCUGUGGGUGAUACAGGAACUCACGCUUCCUCUGCUGAUUACUGGAGGAGAGAUGCCUGCCAGCCCUUCCCGAGCGCGCACAUUCCCAGCAGCAGCCCCUGCCUUGCCCUUCUGCUUAGGGUGUAUUAGAAGCAUGCUGAAAUAUCUCCUACUUAUAGAGCCGAAUCAGAGCUUGAGGCUGUUACAUGCUGAAG
Molecule: long non-coding RNA, 327 nt
Organism: Cygnus atratus (black swan)
Lineage: Eukaryota; Metazoa; Chordata; Aves; Anseriformes; Anatidae
Exons: 3
Source: RefSeq, a predicted model, not a curated record